AACGAACGCUGGCGGCAUGCCUAACACAUGCAAGUCGAACGAGACCUUCGGGUCUAGUCGCGCACGGGUGCGUAACGCGUGGGAACCUGCCCUUAGGUUCGGAAUAACUCCCCGAAAGGGGUGCUAAUACCGGAUAAUGUCUUCGGACCAAAGAUUUAUCGCCUUUGGAUGGGCCCGCGUUGGAUUAGCUAGUUGGUAGGGUAAAAGCCUACCAAGGCGACGAUCCAUAGCUGGUCUGAGAGGAUGAUCAGCCACGCUGGGACUGAGACACGGCCCAGACUCCUACGGGAGGCAGCAGUGGGGAAUAUUGGACAAUGGGCGAAAGCCUGAUCCAGCAAUGCCGCGUGAGUGAUGAAGGCCUUAGGGUUGUAAAGCUCUUUUACCCGGGAUGAUAAUGACAGUACCGGGAGAAUAAGCUCCGGCUAACUCCGUG
RNAcentral lists this ribosomal RNA (433 nucleotides) under uncultured bacterium. RNAcentral's name for it is "partial 16S ribosomal RNA". It matches the Rfam family "Bacterial small subunit ribosomal RNA", at positions 29 to 507 of the family's 1533-position model. The record is from RNAcentral.